CAGCCGCCGCGGUAAUACGAAGGGGACUAGCGUUGUUCGGAAUUACUGGGCGUAAAGCGCACGUAGGCGGAUACUUAAGUCAGGGGUGAAAUCCCGGGGCUCAACCCCGGAACCGCCUUUGAUACUGGGUAUCUCGAGUCCGGAAGAGGUGAGUGGAAUUCCGAGUGUAGAGGUGAAAUUCGUAGAUAUUCGGAGGAACACCAGUGGCGAAGGCGGCUCACUGGUCCGGUACUGACGCUGAGGUGCGAAAGCGUGGGGAGCAAACAGGAUUAGAUACCCCUGUAGUCCCUGUCUCUUAUAC
This 301-nucleotide ribosomal RNA is filed under the name uncultured bacterium. RNAcentral's name for it is "partial 16S ribosomal RNA". It matches the Rfam family "Bacterial small subunit ribosomal RNA", at positions 509 to 807 of the family's 1533-position model. The record is from RNAcentral.